Molecule: ribosomal RNA, 400 nt
Filed under: uncultured bacterium
Lineage: Bacteria
Description: bacterial SSU rRNA
Rfam family: Bacterial small subunit ribosomal RNA
Source: RNAcentral
GAAUUUUCCGCAAUGGGGGCAACCCUGAUCCAGCAAUGCCGCGUGAGUGAUGAAGGCCUUCGGGUUGUAAAGCUCUUUUGCCAGGGACGAUGAUGACGGUACCUGGAGAAUAAGCCCCGGCUAACUUCGUGCCAGCAGCCGCGGUAAUACGAAGGGGGCAAGCGUUGUUCGGAAUUACUGGGCGUAAAGGGCGCGUAGGCGGCCGAUCAAGUCAGGCGUGAAAUUCCCGGGCUCAACCUGGGGGCUGCGCUUGAUACUGAUUGGCUUGAAUGCGGGAGAGGAUAGUGGAAUUCCCAGUGUAGAGGUGAAAUUCGUAGAUAUUGGGAAGAACACCAGUGGCGAAGGCGGCUAUCUGGCCCGUUAUUGACGCUGAGGCGCGAAAGCGUGGGGAGCAAACAGG